This 689-nucleotide long non-coding RNA is filed under the name Equus caballus (horse). RNAcentral describes it as "lncRNA (ENSECAG00000051539.1)". Lineage: Eukaryota; Metazoa; Chordata; Mammalia; Perissodactyla; Equidae. The record is from RNAcentral.
UGGUAAUUCAUGCUGCACUUAUGCCAUAGUGCUCAGGAUAUCUUAUGUUAAAUAUCUACAGCGACUACUACUCCUUUCUGUUCAUUUUUACUUGCCAAUAAUUUUUCAGAACGUUACACUCACCUCUUUCGGCCUCUGCCAGAUUUCACAGGAUUUCUAUAGUCUCUGAGAGAGGCAGCACUGGCUAAGUCACCAUGGGCUCUGGGGGCAGAAGGCAUGGGUUGAAAUUCUGGACCCACCACUGGCUUUGAAUCUUGAGAACGUCAUCUGCCCUAUUCCCUUCCUCAUGAACUGUGAGCGAUGAGACUGCAGGCUACCUUGCCUUCCUCACACAGCUGUUGAGAAGAUCAAGUUAAAUAAGGAUGCAGAAGCCCUCGAAAGCUCUAUUUUACAAUAAGGAAACUCAGAUGUGGAGAGAACUCGCCCAGGGCCACGGAACUAGUGAUGGUAUGGCAAGGAUUCAGACCGAAGCCCGGGCUCUAAACCACGACACUGCACCAAUUCUCCACACAUCAGCGAGCUCACCAAAUGGCCCCCUAUACUGCAUCAUAACUUUGUACUGAAUACAGUCCUGCACCGCACAAUGAUGUUCCAAGUCGACGACAGGCCACAUAUACAACGGUGGUCCCAUAAGAUUAUAAUGGAGCUGAAAACUUCCUAUCGCCUAGUGACAUUAUAGCCGUUGUAAC